GACGUCCUAGGGAAGAACUCACUACCUCUUACCGGUAAGGCACCCUUGUCGCCAGUCCAAGAAGCAGAUCUAGGUGGGGAUGGCGAUGGCGUGCUGUGAUGGCUGACUCCACCUCCCGAUCGGAAGAACUCGCUAUCGGUAAAGGCUCUGUACCCGCCUAGGAAGCAGAUCUAGGCGGGGAUAGCGAUGUCGGGUUGUGACUCAGUCGUGUUGCUUUGUUCUAGAUCAGGAACUCGCUACCAGUAAAGCACCUUUGUGGCCCACCCAAGAAGCAGAUCUAGGCGGGGAUGGCGAUGGCGUGCUGAGGGUUGAAUCCAGCUCCCAGUUAGUUUCCCAUCUCCUCUAUUUUACUACUCAAGUCUCUAGACUAGAUCUCAACCUAGUUGUUCUCUCUUUUUUUGGCUACUCCUUCCUCUAAUCUGACUCAGUCUUGGUGCUUUGUUCUAGAUCAAGGUAUCGGCUAUUCUUCCUCUAAUCGACUCGGGUCUUAUUGCUUUGAUCUAGAUCAAGGUAUCUAUUUUACUACUCUAGAUCUCGAUCUAGCUGUUACCUUUUAUUUGCUACUCCUUCCUCUAAUCGACUCGGUCUUGUUGCUUUGUUCUAGAUCAAGGUAUCGGCUAUUACUCCUCUAAUUGACUCGGUCUUAUUGCUAUGUUCUAGAUAAAGGUAUCUGUUUACUACUCUAGAUCUCGAUCUAGUUGUUCUCUUUGAUUUGCUAAUCCUUUCUCUAAUUGAUUUGGUCUUAUUGCUUUAUCCAGAUCAGAAGAACUCGCUACCGGUAAAGCACCUUUGUGGCCCACCCAAGAAUCAGAUCUAGGAUGGCGUGCUGUGAUGGCUGAAUCCACCUCCCGGUGAGCUGGAAUUGGUCCUACUAGCCAGAUGGCAACUAAGGCUUCCGAUAAAGAACGUGCUCCUCCUUGCUAGAUCCCCCACCUUUGUCAUGUCUGUCCUUCUCCACCACCAGAUCCAUCGAGGUCCGGGCAACAUUAAGCACCUCCUCCUUGGAUCAGAUAAUUCAAGUCAUCGUCAUCACUCGCUCUGGUAGCGAAAGAGUUGGGAGUGGCAGGCGCCAUGGAUGGAGGCUCUGGUGCUAUUGGCCUAGACAGGGGCUUUGUUUGCCAUCGACGUCUACCGAUGUGCCGUCCGUUUGACGUUUCAAGCAUUGUUCACCGUCGGAGUCCGCCGACGUGUUGUUCUUUCAUCGUUCCUACCAAGGUUCAUGUUCGCAUGCUUAUUUUUCUUCAUGUUAGCCGUUCUCAUCUAAUCACAUAUCACCAGAACUUUUCCUUUUUGCGGUGUCUGUACUUGUUUCUGUUACUUGGCUAUUGUUCGAGGUAAGUUCUUUCCUACGAUGCUCCUGCUGCCUUCUCUUUCUUUCUGCAGGAUUUGUUAUGUCUGGUUUGCUUUCUGCCUCUUCUCGUCACUUGUCAUCUUUUUUCUUUCAUUGUCUUGGUUUUAGGUCCUUUUAGCAGUUGGUGUUUGUCCAUUGUGCAUCUUCUUGUUUCGGCGUUCUUAUGUACUUUUGUUUUGGUUGGGUGUUGGCUAUUUGCAUGUACUUUUUCUUGUUCUUGUUGUUCAUGUUUUUGACAAGCUCGUUCUAUAUGCACUGUGUCGGGUUAUUGUUUAGUGCCCUUUUUUGCACUGCUUGUUCUUUGCAUGAACGGAUGGUAUUAAAUAACUUUCAAGUUUGUGGUCAAGGGCCCUGCCUUCUCAGAAUCUUCAUUCAAGAGUGAUUGAAGAGGUUUUGAAGAAAUUAUCCAGGCCGAGGAAUACCAAACACGACUUCGUAAACGCCAUCAUGGCUCUUUUUGGAUGGCGACGACGAGCCGACAGAGGAUUUAGGGCACGCAAGUGCGGGGGCAUGCACUUUGUGGGCCGUUGAUCUGCGCCAAGAUUCGCACAUAUGUUUGUGUAUAUACUCUUUUUGUG
Molecule: long non-coding RNA, 1929 nt
Organism: Triticum dicoccoides
Lineage: Eukaryota; Viridiplantae; Streptophyta; Magnoliopsida; Poales; Poaceae
Exons: 5
Source: RefSeq, a predicted model, not a curated record